GUGGGGAAUAUUGGACAAUGGGCGAAAGCCUGAUCCAGCCAUGCCGCGUGUGUGAAGAAGGUCUUCGGAUUGUAAAGCACUUUAAGUUGGGAGGAAGGGCAGUAAGUUAAUACCUUGCUGUUUUGACGUUACCGACAGAAUAAGCACCGGCUAACUUCGUGCCAGCAGCCGCGGUAAUACGAAGGGUGCAAGCGUUAAUCGGAAUUACUGGGCGUAAAGCGCGCGUAGGUGGUUUUGUAAGUUGGAGGUGAAAUCCCCGGGCUCAACCUGGGAACUGCCUCCAAUACUGCAUGACUAGAGUACGGUAGAGGGUAGUGGAAUUUCCUGUGUAGCGGUGAAAUGCGUAGAUAUAGGAAGGAACACCAGUGGCGAAGGCGACUACCUGGACUGAUACUGACACUGAGGUGCGAAAGCGUGGGGAGCAAACAGGAUUAGAUACCCCUGUAGUCC
RNAcentral lists this ribosomal RNA (450 nucleotides) under uncultured bacterium. Its description in RNAcentral is "partial 16S ribosomal RNA". It matches the Rfam family "Bacterial small subunit ribosomal RNA", at positions 354 to 796 of the family's 1533-position model. The record is from RNAcentral.